This 468-nucleotide ribosomal RNA is filed under the name uncultured bacterium. RNAcentral's name for it is "partial 16S ribosomal RNA". It matches the Rfam family "Bacterial small subunit ribosomal RNA", at positions 34 to 507 of the family's 1533-position model. The record is from RNAcentral.
UCCUCCCUCUGGCGGCGUGCUUAACACAUGCAAGUCGAACGGAAAGGCCCUGCUUUUGUGGGGUGCUCGAGUGGCGAACGGGUGAGUAACACGUGAGUAACCUGCCCUUGACUUUGGGAUAACUUCAGGAAACUGGGGCUAAUACCGGAUAGGAGCUCCUGCUGCAUGGUGGGGGUUGGAAAGUUUCGGCGGUUGGGGAUGGACUCGCGGCUUAUCAGCUUGUUGGUGGGGUAGUGGCUUACCAAGGCUUUGACGGGUAGCCGGCCUGAGAGGGUGACCGGGGACAUUGGGACUGAGAUACGGCCCAGACUCCUACGGGAGGCAGCAGUGGGGAAUAUUGCACAAUGGGCGGAAGCCUGAGGAAGCAACGCCGCGUGCGGGAUGACGGCCUUCGGGUUGUAAACCGCUUUCGCCUGUGACGAAGCGUGAGUGACGGUAAUGGGUAAAGAAGCACCGGCUAACUACGUG